RNAcentral lists this ribosomal RNA (843 nucleotides) under uncultured bacterium. RNAcentral describes it as "bacterial SSU rRNA". It matches the Rfam family "Bacterial small subunit ribosomal RNA", at positions 56 to 941 of the family's 1533-position model. The record is from RNAcentral.
UGCAAGUCGCACGAGAAAGUGGAGCAAUCCAUGAGUACAGUGGCGUACGGGUGAGUAACACGUGGGUAAUCUGCCUCUUAGUGGGGAAUAACUCUGGGAAACCGGAGCUAAUACCGCAUAAGCCUGGAAAGGGAAAGCAGCAAUGCGCUGAGAGAGGAGCCCGCGGCCGAUUAGCUAGUUGGUAGGGUAAAGGCCUACCAAGGCAAUGAUCGGUAGCCGGCCUGAGAGGGCACACGGCCACACUGGCACUGAAACACGGGCCAGACUCCUACGGGAGGCAGCAGUGGGGAAUCUUGCACAAUGGGGGCAACCCUGAUGCAGCGACGCCGCGUGAGCGAUGAAGCCCUUCGGGGUGUAAAGCUCUUUCGGCAGGAACGAUAAUGACGGUACCUGAAGAAGAAGCUGCGGCUAACUACGUGCCAGCAGCCGCGGUAAUACGUAGGCAGCAAGCGUUGUUCGGAGUUACUGGGCGUAAAGAGUGUGUAGGCUGUUCUCUAAGUUUGGUGUGAAAUCUCCCGGCUCAACUGGGAGGGUGCGCCGAAAACUGGAGGGCUCGAGUAUGGGAGAGGAAAGCGGAAUUCCUGGUGUAGCGGUGAAAUGCGUAGAUAUCAGGAGGAACACCUGCGGUGUAGACAGCUUUCUGGACCAUCACUGACGCUGAGACACGAAAGCGUGGGUAGCAAACAGGAUUAGAUACCCUGGUAGUCCACGCCCUAAACGAUGCAUACUUGGUGUGAGCCGUUCAUUCGGUUCGUGCGGACUAACGCGUUAAGUAUGCGCCUGGGGAGUACGUCGCAGGCUGAAACUCAAAGAUGACGGGGGCCCGCACAAGCGGUGGACAUG